UACGGGGGGAGCAAGCGUUGUUCGGAUUUACUGGGCGUAAAGGGCGCGUAGGCGGCCAGCACAAGUCAGUUGUGAAAUCUCCGAGCUUAACUCGGAAAGGUCAACUGAUACUGUGCGGCUAGAGUGCAGAAGGGGCAACUGGAAUUCUUGGUGUAGCGGUGAAAUGCGUAGAUAUCAAGAGGAACACCUGCGGCGAAGGCGGGUUGCUGGGCUGACACUGACGCUGAAGCGCGAAAGCCAGGGGA
Molecule: ribosomal RNA, 245 nt
Filed under: uncultured bacterium
Lineage: Bacteria
Description: partial 16S ribosomal RNA
Rfam family: Bacterial small subunit ribosomal RNA
Source: RNAcentral